AGAGUUUGAUCAUGGCUCAGAUUGAACGCUGGCGGUAUGCUUAACACAUGCAAGUCGAACGGUAACAGGAAAAGCUUGCUUUUCGCUGACGAGUGGCGGACGGGUGCGUAAUGCGUAGGAAUCUGCCUAGUAGUGGGGGACAACUCGGAGAAAUUCGAGCUAAUACCGCAUAAGCCCUACGGGGGAAAACGGGGGAUCUUCUGACCUCGUGCUAUUAGAUGAGCCUACGUUAGAUUAGCUUGUUGGUGAGGUAAAAGCUCACCAAGGCGACGAUCUAUAGCUGGUCUGAGAGGAUGAUCAGCCACACUGGGACUGAGACACGGCCCAGACUCCUACGGGAGGCAGCAGUGGGGAAUAUUGGACAAUGGGCGAAAGCCUGAUCCAGCAAUACCGCGUGUGUGAAGAAGGCCUGAGGGUUGUAAAGCACUUUCAAUUGGGAGGAAUACCUAAUGGUUAAUAGCCAUUAGAUUGACA
This 474-nucleotide ribosomal RNA is filed under the name uncultured bacterium. Its description in RNAcentral is "bacterial SSU rRNA". It matches the Rfam family "Bacterial small subunit ribosomal RNA", at positions 8 to 474 of the family's 1533-position model. The record is from RNAcentral.